RNAcentral lists this transfer RNA (69 nucleotides) under Marmota monax (woodchuck). RNAcentral's name for it is "tRNA.Ala". The record is from RNAcentral. Lineage: Eukaryota; Metazoa; Chordata; Mammalia; Rodentia; Sciuridae.
GGAGUGUAGCCUAGAGGUAGAGCUUGUGCUUAGCAUGUGCAAGACCCUGGGUUCAAUCCCCCGCACCCA